Molecule: RNA transcript, 427 nt
Organism: Carlito syrichta (Philippine tarsier)
Lineage: Eukaryota; Metazoa; Chordata; Mammalia; Primates; Tarsiidae
Gene name: 60S ribosomal protein L6 pseudogene
Exons: 1
Source: RefSeq, a predicted model, not a curated record
CCCAUCCUGCAAGAUGGUGGGUGAAAAAGUUGAGAAGCCAAAUGCUAAGGAGAAGAAACCUGAAACCAAGAAGGCUGACGCUGGUGGCAAGGUGAAAAAGAGUAAGCUCAAGGCUAAAAAGCAGAAGAAGGGGAAACCCCACUGCAGCCGAAAUCCUGCCCUUGUCAGAGGAAUUGGAAGAUAUUCCCGAUCUGCUAUGUAUUCCAGAAAGGCCUUGUACAAGAGGAAGUACUCGGCAGCUAAAUCCAAGAUGGAAAAGAAAAAAAAGGAGAAGGUUCUUGCAACCGUUACAAAACCAGUUGGUGGUGACAAGAAUGGUGGUACCCGAGUGGUUACACUUCGCAAAAUGCCUAGAUAUUAUCCGACUGAAGAUGUGCCUCGAAAGCUGUUAAGCCAUGGGAUAAAGCCCUUCAGCCAGUGUCGGUGA